RNAcentral lists this ribosomal RNA (469 nucleotides) under uncultured bacterium. RNAcentral's name for it is "partial 16S ribosomal RNA". It matches the Rfam family "Bacterial small subunit ribosomal RNA", at positions 28 to 507 of the family's 1533-position model. The record is from RNAcentral.
GACGAACGCUGGCGGCGUGCUUAACACAUGCAAGUCGAACGGAAAGGCCCUGCUUGCAGGGUGCUCGAGUGGCGAACGGGUGAGUAACACGUGGGUGAUCUGCCCCUUACUUUGGGAUAAGCCUGGGAAACUGGGUCUAAUACUGGAUAGGACCAUGCUGUAGGUGGUGUGGUGGAAAGAUUAGUUUCGGUAAGGGAUGAGCUCGCGGCCUAUCAGCUUGUUGGUGGGGUAAUGGCCUACCAAGGCGUCGACGGGUAGCCGGCCUGAGAGGGUGGACGGCCACAUUGGGACUGCGAUACGGCCCAGACGCCUACGGGAGGCAGCAGUGGGGAAUAUUGCACAAUGGGCGCAAGCAUGAUGCAGCGACGCCGCGUGGGGGAUGACGGCCUUCGGGUUGUAAACUCCUUUCAGCCAUGACGAAGCCCUUGUGGUGACGGUAGUGGUAGAAGAAGCACCGGCUAACUACGUG